AUUUAUUGAUUAAACAAGUCACAUCUCCUUUAAGGCUAACAAUCAGUACCACAGUAAAUCUGCAUCUUUCAACGGAUUAUUUGUAAGUGUAGGGUCACCAAUACACCACUUCAAUUUAGAACGUGUCGUAUGUAAAAGUAGUCCUACCCUGUAAAAUAUCGCACCUGUGAUGUCUUUGUUUAAUUAAACAAAAAUACAAAUUUGAAGAAAAGGGGGUUGCCCUAUUUUGAGGGCUCCUAGAGAAAAAUAAUGAGGGGUGUCACGGGGUAUGACUAUAUAGGUCUUGAAGAGGAAAACAGGCGCUUCUUUUGCGCAAGGUAUCGAAGGGCGCUAUGUUCAAAAAUCUGAAACUAGAGCCCAAAAUUUGAAAAAAAUGGUAAAAAAAAUAGGGAGCUCGGCCAAUUCCAGGGCUCCUAGAGAAAAAUAAUGAGGGUGUCACGGGGUAUGACUAUAUAGGUCUUGUAGAGGAAAAACAGGCGCUUCUUUUGUGCAAGGUAUCGAAGGGCGCUAUAUUCAAAAAUUUGAAACUAGAGCUCAAAAUAUGAAAAAAAUUGGCAAAAACAGGGGGUCUGCCUAUUCCAGGGCUUCUAGAGAAAAAUAAUGAGGGGUGUCACGGGGUAUGACUAUAUAGGUCUUGUAGAGGAGAAACAGGCGCUUCUUUUGCGCAAGGUAUCGAAGGGCGCUAUGUUCAAAAAUCUGAAACUAGAGCCCAAAAUUUGAAAAAAAAAUGGUAAAAAAAUAGGGGGGUCGGCUUUUUCCUGGGCUCCUAGGGAAAAAUAAUGAGGGGUGUCACGGGUAUGACUUUAUAGGUCUUGUAGAGGAGAAACAGGCGCUUCUUUUGCGCAAGGUAUCGAAGGGCGCUAUGUUAAAAAAUCUGAAACUAGAGCUCAAAAUUUGAAAACAAAUGGUAAAAAACAGGGAGGUCGGCCUAUUCCAGGGCUUCUAGAGAAAAAUAAUGAGGAGUGUCACGGGGUAUGACUAUAUAGAUCUUGUAGAGGAGAAACAGGUGCUUCUUUUGCUCAAGGUAUCGAUGGGUGCUAUGUUCAAAAUCUUAAACUAGAGCUCAAAAUUUGAAAACAAAUGGUAAAAAACAGGGGGGUCGGCCUAUUCCAGGGCUUCUAGAGAAAAUAAUGAGGGGUGUCACGGGGUAUGACUAUAUAAGUCUUGCAGAGGAGAAACAGGCGCUUCUUUUGCGCAAGGUAUCGAAGGGUGCUAUGUUCAAAAAUCUGAAACUGGAGCCCAAAAUUUGAAAAAAAUGGUAUAAAACAGGGUAUGACUAUAUAAGUCUUGUAGAGGAGAAACAGGUGCUUCUUUUGCGCAAGGUAUCAAUGGGUGCUAUGUUCAAAAUCUUAAACUAGAGCUCAAAAUUUGAAAACAAAUGGUAAAAAACAGGGGGCCGGCCUAUUCCAGGGCUUCUAAAGAAAAAUAAUGAGGAAUGUCACGGGGUAAGACUAUACAGGUCUUGUAGAAGAGAAACAGGCGCUUCUUUUGCGCAAGGUAUCGAAGGUCGCUAUGUUCAAAAAUCUGAAACUGGAGCUCAAAAUAUGAAAAAAAAUGGUAUAAAACAGGGGGGUCGGCCUUUUCCAGGGCAUCUAGAGAAAAAUAAUGAGGAGUGUCACGGGGUAUGACUUUAUAGGUCUUGUAGAGAAGAAAGAGGCGCUACUUUUGCGCAAGUUAUCGAAGGGUGCUAUGUUCAAAAAUCUGAAACUAGAGCCCAAAAUUUGAAAAAAAAAUGGUAAAAAAAUAGGGGGGUCGGUCUAUUCCAGGGCUCCUAGAGAAAAAUAAUGAGGGGUGUCAUGGGGUAUGACUAUAUAGGUCUUGUAGAGGAGAAACAGGCGCUUCUUUUGCGCAAGGUAUCGAAGGUCGCUAUGUUCAAAAAUCUGAAACUAGAGCUCAAAAUAUGAAAAAAAAAUGGUAAAAAACAGGGUGUCGGCCUAUUCCAGGGCUUCUAGAGAAAAAUAAUGAGGGGUGUCACGGGUAUGACUAUAUAGGUCUUGUAGAGGAGAAACAGGCGCUUUUUUUGCGCAAGGUAUCGAAGGGCGCUAUGUUCAAAAAUCUGAAACUGGAGCCCAAAAUUUGAAAAAAAAUGGUAUAAAACAGGGGGGUCGGCCUUUUCCAGGGCUUCUAGAGAAAAAUAAUGAGGGGU
Molecule: long non-coding RNA, 2146 nt
Filed under: Mytilus galloprovincialis (Mediterranean mussel)
Lineage: Eukaryota; Metazoa; Mollusca; Bivalvia; Mytilida; Mytilidae
Source: RNAcentral